This 73-nucleotide transfer RNA is filed under the name Paraplagusia blochii (Bloch's tonguesole). RNAcentral describes it as "tRNA-Leu". It matches the Rfam family "tRNA". Rfam says of the family: Transfer RNA (tRNA) molecules are approximately 80 nucleotides in length. Their secondary structure includes four short double-helical elements and three loops (D, anti-codon, and T loops). Further hydrogen bonds mediate the characteristic L-shaped molecular structure. tRNAs have two regions of fundamental functional importance: the anti-codon, which is responsible for specific mRNA codon recognition, and the 3' end, to which the tRNAs corresponding amino acid is attached (by aminoacyl-tRNA synthetases). tRNAs cope with the degeneracy of the genetic code in two manners: having more than one tRNA (with a specific anti-codon) for a particular amino acid; and 'wobble' base-pairing, i.e. permitting non-standard base-pairing at the 3rd anti-codon position. Lineage: Eukaryota; Metazoa; Chordata; Actinopteri; Pleuronectiformes; Cynoglossidae. The record is from RNAcentral.
GCUAUUAAAGGACAGUAGUCGAUCUGUUGGCCUUAGGAACCAAAAACCCUUGGUGCAAAUCCAAGUAAUAGCU